GUUAGCGGCGGACGGGUGAGUAACACGUGGGUAACCUACCCUGUAGAUUGGGAUAACUCCGGGAAACCGGGGCUAAUACCGAAUAACACUUUUGACCUCAUGGUCGAAUGUUAAAAGACGGUUUCGGCUGUCACUACAGGAUGGGCCCGCGGCGCAUUAGCUAGUUGGUGAGGUAACGGCUCACCAAGGCAACGAUGCGUAGCCGACCUGAGAGGGUGAUCGGCCACACUGGGACUGAGACACGGCCCAGACUCCUACGGGAGGCAGCAGUAGGGAAUCUUCCACAAUGGACGAAAGUCUGAUGGAGCAACGCCGCGUGAGUGAAGAAGGAUUUCGGUUCGUAAAACUCUGUUGCAAGGGAAGAACAAGUAGCGUAGUAACUGGCGCUACCUUGACGGUACCUUGUUAGAAAGCCACGGCUAACUA
Molecule: ribosomal RNA, 426 nt
Filed under: Caryophanon sp. CL6.66
Lineage: Bacteria; Bacillati; Bacillota; Bacilli; Caryophanales; Caryophanaceae
Description: bacterial SSU rRNA
Rfam family: Bacterial small subunit ribosomal RNA
Source: RNAcentral